Molecule: ribosomal RNA, 234 nt
Filed under: uncultured Candidatus Saccharibacteria bacterium
Lineage: Bacteria; Candidatus Saccharimonadota
Description: partial 16S ribosomal RNA
Rfam family: Bacterial small subunit ribosomal RNA
Source: RNAcentral
UAAGCGAAUAGUGAAAGAGUGAGGCUCAACCUCAUAGACAUUAUUCGAACUAUCAAACUAGAGAACGAGAGAGGUGGCGAGAAUUCUUGGUGUAGGAGUGAAAUCCGUAGAUAUCAAGAGGAAUACCAAUGGCGUAGGCAGGCCACUGGCUCGUUUCUGACACUGAGGCACGAAAGCGUGGGAGCAAACGGGACUAGAUACCCCGGUAGUCCACGCCGUAAACUAUGGAUGCUA